This 440-nucleotide ribosomal RNA is filed under the name uncultured bacterium. Its description in RNAcentral is "partial 16S ribosomal RNA". It matches the Rfam family "Bacterial small subunit ribosomal RNA", at positions 338 to 795 of the family's 1533-position model. The record is from RNAcentral.
CCUACGGGAGGCAGCAGUAGGGAAUAUUGCUCAAUGGGGGAAACCCUGAAGCAGCAACGCCGCGUGGAGGAUGAAGGUUUUAGGAUUGUAAACUCCUUUUGUUAGAGAAGAUUAUGACGGUAUCUAACGAAUAAGCACCGGCUAACUCCGUGCCAGCAGCCGCGGUAAUACGGAGGGUGCAAGCGUUACUCGGAAUCACUGGGCGUAAAGCGUGCGUAGGCGGGGUAAUAAGUCAGAUGUGAAAUCCUGUAGCUUAACUACAGAACUGCAUUUGAAACUGUUACUCUGGAGGGUGGGAGAGGUAGGUGGAAUUCUUGGUGUAGGGGUAAAAUCCGUAGAGAUCAAGAGGAAUACUCAUUGCGAAGGCGACCUGCUGGAACAUUACUGACGCUGAUGCACGAAAGCGUGGGGAGCAAACAGGAUUAGAUACCCCUGUAGUC